Molecule: long non-coding RNA, 748 nt
Filed under: Elaeis guineensis (African oil palm)
Lineage: Eukaryota; Viridiplantae; Streptophyta; Magnoliopsida; Arecales; Arecaceae
Description: long non-coding RNA (EGUI_LNC019695)
Source: RNAcentral
UGACAAGUGCUUCAAGUAUAGGGAACAAAAAUCAUAUGAGGUGGACAUUACAGGCCAUCAUAUGGGCGGGCCUAAUUUUCAUGCCUUUUUUUUUUUGCAUCUCAAAGAGAAAACUUAAAAGUCAAAUAGGGAUUAGAUUUUUUCUACUAAUUGGAGUCCACUAGUUUUAUAACUGAAAUAAUAAAAAAUAAAAUAAAAUACAUACCUAAGAGAGAUCCUUCAUGACCAUCCAUAUUGUCUUUCUUCUUCAUCAAGCCUCUCCAUUAUCUUUCUCAUCAAAUCAUUUCUCCCAUCCGUAAGGUCUUCUUUUCGAGUCUAUUUUUCCUCUUUCAAACUCAAUGUGUCAUCCCUCUUAUCCAUGAGAUUUUCUUCAAGUUUCUUUCGUAUCUUCCAAAUCCUUCUUUUCUAAGAUUUUUAUAUCUAAAAAUUUAUAGAAAUUGUAUAUCAUUUAACCUAGAGGUGUAUAUUGAGACGUCGGAUGAAUAUUUUGCUAGAUAUAUGUCAAUUGACUAUUGGGAUAGAUUCUUGUCGCUCAACCAACUAUCACACUUUUUUAUCUCCCAACCGACUAAAGGAGCUACGCUGACUAAGCUUCCACAAUUCGACUUGACCCAGACUAGCGAGUCCUGUGCAGUCGGAUCUACACCAGCUGCUAUCAACAAUACUCGACCGACUAAUGGCAGCAUACCUAACCUAGUUGGCACCAAGCCGACUAGAUCCAACAUGCCGACUUUGCCAAAUGACACUC